RNAcentral lists this long non-coding RNA (811 nucleotides) under Malus domestica (apple). Its description in RNAcentral is "long non-coding RNA (MDOM_LNC020806)". The record is from RNAcentral. Lineage: Eukaryota; Viridiplantae; Streptophyta; Magnoliopsida; Rosales; Rosaceae.
AUCCUUGCCGUGGGUUUCAUGCAAUUCCUAUCAGUUUUGGGGCUUUCUAGAAGCCCUAUCCUCAAAUCCCUACAUUGGUGCCGCACCCUAGCUUCUAGAUGCCUAGUUCCUUGCCUUGCAAGGCAUUCUAGAAACCUUAUCACCUUAUCCUAUCCCUGCCGCACCUAGGACCUCUUUUCCCUUGCAAAAUCUGAUUGUUUAGACCUAUUUCCUUGUGGAUUUGGGUUAUCCAAGUCCAUAUCUGAUUACCCUAGGGUUUUAAGUGCCUAUAUAUACUCCUACUAACCCCUAAAUCAGAUCACCACUCACCACAAUUCACAAUUCACUCCAGAAAUUCGUCCAACCCUCUCCUCACUCUUGCCGCACCCACCAAACACCGUUCCCCCUAGUUCUAAAUCUUGCCGCACCAUCCCCACCCCCUAAACACUACUACAUCCAUCCAUAACCAUGCAUCCAUACACCUAAAGUCCCAACCUGUCCCUAAAAGUCCUUUGCCGCACCAAGGAGGAGGAGGAAGCUCGGAAGUUCAUGCAAUUCAAGUUCGCGUCGCUGGAAUUUCUAGGUGUUUCUUUUCCUUUGAUUUCAAUGUUUAAAUUCAAUUCUCUUUGUUUUGUGCGUAUGAGGAACUAAACCCCCCUUGGCUAGGGGGGGAUUCGAAAUACAUGUUUAUGCUUGUGUUAUGAUUUGAUUACUUCUAAUUGCGUUUCAUAAGUUGUGAAUUCAAUUUACUUAUCUAUGAGAAUUACAUUGAUUUGUGUGUGUUGGUUGAGAGUGCACGCUUAAUUAUCAUGCAUAAAUUGAAUGCUAGGAU